This 404-nucleotide ribosomal RNA is filed under the name Actinomycetes bacterium. RNAcentral's name for it is "Actinobacteria bacterium partial 16S ribosomal RNA". It matches the Rfam family "Bacterial small subunit ribosomal RNA", at positions 355 to 776 of the family's 1533-position model. Lineage: Bacteria; Bacillati; Actinomycetota; Actinomycetes. The record is from RNAcentral.
UGGGGAAUAUUGGACAAUGGGCGCAAGCCUGAUCCAGCCAUGCCGCGUGAGUGAUGAAGGCCCUAGGGUUGUAAAGCUCUUUCACCGGUGAAGAUAAUGACGGUAACCGGAGAAGAAGCCCCGGCUAACUUCGUGCCAGCAGCCGCGGUAAUACGAAGGGGGCUAGCGUUGUUCGGAUUUACUGGGCGUAAAGCGCACGUAGGCGGACUUUUAAGUCAGGGGUGAAAUCCCGGGGCUCAACCCCGGAACUGCCUUUGAUACUGGAAGUCUUGAGUAUGGUAGAGGUGAGUGGAAUUCCGAGUAUAGAGGUGAAAUUCGUAGAUAUUCGGAGGAACACCAGUGGCGAAGGCGGCUCACUGGACCAUUACUGACGCUGGGGUGCGAAAGCGUGGGGAGCAAACAGG